This is a long non-coding RNA of Taeniopygia guttata (zebra finch), 3521 nucleotides long. The record is from Ensembl. NCBI's taxonomy places the organism in Eukaryota, Metazoa, Chordata, Aves, Passeriformes, Estrildidae.
UUUUUUUUUUUUUUUUUUUUUUUUUAAGGAUUCACACAACCAUAUAUACGCCUUUCUUCAGUCCAAGCCUAAAAACAUAAAUCAAAAUCGUGGUAGCUUUGCAGUUUCAAAGUAAAAUUGGAAUUAAACACUGCUCUAAAGGAUGGCUAUAAUUGCUCUUUAACUCAUCUAAUAAUGCUUCCUCAAGCUAUUCUACUCUACGUAGAUGUGUUUAAUAAUUGUAACUCUAUGUUCUAUCUGGUUUUUUAAUUGCAAUUAAUUACAUAUUGUUUGAGUAGGAUUUUCUUUUACCCUGUGAUGACCCCAUGAUGACACUGAGAUAUGCACAUUACACUCUGAGACUGUCCUUGUGUUUUAGAUUGAGUCUUCCAUACCAUUCUCUGUAUUAAUCUAUUUUUUCCCUAGAAAUCUUAAUCUCUGUGGAUGCUUUGAUUUACAGGUUGGCACUGUAGAGUGUUACAGACUAUAGGUGUGAGCUGUCAAUAAUAACUCUAUCGCGAGAACUGUAUUUUAGGAAACAAAAUUCAAUCAAGAAGUAAAAUAUUACAAAGGACUAGCUCAGGUUCUUAACAAAUGACAUGGUGAGUAAAAAAUUUUCUCAAAUUAAGCUUCUGCCUUUUAAAAUAGUUAAUAUUUACAAGAUCAUUUAUAUUUUCCAACAUAUUUGAUGGUACCUAGGCCAUGAACUAACACUUCUAGAAAGACAGUCUACAACAUCUGUGUGUUCUGUAUUUCCUUCUGUGCUGACUUGCUUUUUCCUGUUGGCUUCAUGAUAUAAGUAUGGAAUUACAUUACAAGAGUUUCUGUGUGGGCAAUCCAAAUUACCUGGCUGAAGCAAACACACCCUGCCACUUGAAGAGAUUAAGGAAUACCAAAGAUUUUUAUUUUAGUAACCAGCAGUGGGUUUUUCAAACUAUUCAGUACAGGCCAACUUUUGUUCUAUUGAUAUCAACAGUAAAACUCUUCAGAAAGACUGGAAAGAAUCCAGUUCUGAAUACUUCUGAAAAACCCUACCCUAAAAAUCUUUAUUUUAAAUUACUUCAAAACAUGCAAUUUAUGGAAUUUACCACAAGAAAUUCUGCCAGCAUGGAUCUGAAAGGCAGCUGGGGAUAUAAGAAAACAGAUGAUCCACAUGACAUUCUUACUUGGAGCUGUGCAGUCUGACAAGUGAAAAUAAUUUACUUGUGAGGGAAAACAAUUUCUCUCUACGCCCUUUUCCAUACAUGAAAUAUUCAGUUCUCAUUUAUUUUUCCACAAGAAAAUGGCAACAGCAUUUUGUACUACUGAAUUUUAUGUGAGACCCUCUCAAGUGGUCCAACUUGUUCUCAAAUCUCAAUACAAUAAAAACAUAUAUAAACUAUCAAACAAUCCAACUGAAUAAAAACAAAGACACUUAAAUACAGUCUAUAAUUGCUUUAAUGAAUCUGAUUACAAAUUGCAAGGCAUUUUUUCUUUUUGUGCUCACAUAAACAUCCAAGACAUUAAAUAACCUUCCUAAGGUAGACUCACUAGUAAUGCAAUUACUCUGAACAAAAACAAAAAUUAGUGUAAUGGAAAUAAUUUACAAUUGAAGUGCAGAAGUCAUAAUGGAAGGAUGGAUCAACUACAUGGAAGAAUAAAGAUUAUAAUUCUUAAAGUGAAGCACAAAGUUAAUAUAUGAGAAGCUGUGUGAGUCAAGCUAGAAACUUAUUUCACCUUGCUGAACAAGAUCAAAGAUGAGUUCAUUGUAACAGCAUGAAUAUUAGUAAACAAUUGUAUAAAUAACCCAACUUUAUGUAAACCCAGACCCACACGCCUGUCAGCACAGCACUGAGCAGGAAUGGUGAGGUGAGCUACUGAGAUAAGAAAAAGGCAAGACUGAGGACAGAACCCCAAAUCUUAGACAUUAGGUUAUGAAAACCCCAGAAAGAUAACUAAGGCUUGUAGAGAGGAUGGGUGGCCUGACUCUGCUGAAGUAAACAAGCAGGAUUUAAUUGAAUUUUAGUGAAAGUGACUGAAGAUCUGCUCUGCAUUUGUGCUAGUUCUCUUACAGAUCCUAGUGACCUCCAACUAAGUGUGCAUACCUUAUUUUUUUUAAGAUUUUAAGUUAGAUUCUAGCAGCCUUUUCAAAUUAUAAUUGAGAGAACAGCUCUUCCAUCAUGUUACAGUUUACAUGGAAUGAAUGACAUCUUCAUUUAAUAAGAAAAUACAAUUUUCUUAAAAACCCCACACCACUAAACAAUGGACAUUCCCUAUCUAUAUUUUCUUCCUCAUAAAUCAGGUUCUAUCCAAGGGUCAGGGAGCUGUUACUAACUUCAUAACAACUGCUGGUUCUGCUUACAGUUCCUGAAGUGCCAGCAGCACAAUAAUUGAGUGUUGUGAAGCAGUUUGAGAUACAUGGUACAUUCAGGAGGGUGAAUAAUAUAUUCACAAUUUUUCUUCACUGUUUUAUUUCAUACCUAAACUCUAUCCAAAUAUGGAGAGCUCUCAUCUGAUAACUGAAUCUGCAUCCAGUUGUCAUAAUUCUAGUCAAAAAGGAAGACCAUCAGCCCCUCUCUAACAGCAUAAAUACACACACUCAAAUUCUCAAGGCUUUAUGAUGAAUUCUUUGGAUGCUUUCUUUUCCCUAGCAAUUUCCAAAGAAAAUGAGCAAGAAGUUCAAGAAAAGAGUUCAUAAAAUUGUGAACUACACAGUAUUUAAUGCAUAAGCUAACUUAAUUACAGAAAUAUGUAGAAAAAAGUCAUGGUAUGUCAGGGCAUACCAGCAACUCCAAAAAGCUUGUGGCAUACUUGACCUGAAAUCAGUACCUUCAGUCUGGGUAGGUGGAAGAGAACACAUUAUUUCUGGAAACAAACUGCAUCCUUCUCUAUGCUGUAGUUGGCUUUUAUUUCUUCUAGUCAGUUUACCAGUGAAGUAUGUUGUGUGUACGUUCUGUUUACACUUCAGAGGAACAAAAUCCUGAAGUGAUGAUCCUAAUAGGAUCCAUUACUAAAAUCCUGAGAACAUUACAGUUGGCAAUCUCUUUGAGUAGCUUGCUAAGAAUUUUUUUUCUGCAGAGCUAUCGAUUUUCUUUCAUUUUCUGAGCUGGGAGUCUUUGCUUAGAAGUAGAAAGUCUGAAAAGCACGCUGAUUCAUAGGCCACAUACCAUUUCUGCUUUAGUGCACAAUAUACUUCUGAGAAAGAAAUAAAAUGACCUCGUUUACUACCAUGUUAAAUAAAUUAGAGCUCUGCAUGACCUGUCAUCUCCAAACCCAGGUAAUGCUAAAAGCAGGAACUCCCAGUAUUUUUUCUUUCCCUGGUUUUAUGCACACUGCUGUUUCUAGACCUCUGCUUAUUUCCAGUUACCCCUGCUUGUACAUUUAAUAAAGUAUUUGUUGAAAUACAUUUAUUAGAAUGUGUGAUCAAUUAAAUAACUUUGUGUCUUAAAAUAAACACAUACAGUGCAAUCUGAAGACGGCAAGUCAUUUUUGACAGCUUCUAUACUUUUUUAAACUGAAAAAGUAUUAGUAUUGUCAGUUUUACAGUAUUCAUUAUUUAUGCA